RNAcentral lists this ribosomal RNA (253 nucleotides) under uncultured bacterium. RNAcentral describes it as "partial 16S ribosomal RNA". It matches the Rfam family "Bacterial small subunit ribosomal RNA", at positions 524 to 776 of the family's 1533-position model. The record is from RNAcentral.
UACGUAGGGUGCAAGCGUUAUUCGGAAUCACUGGGCGUAAAGGGCGCGCAGGCGGGUUUGUCAGUUUAAAGUGAAAUCCUGGGGCUUAACCGAAGGGCUGCUUUUAAUACUUCAAAACUCGAGUUCGGGAAAAAGAAGCGGAAUUCCUGGUGAAGGGGUGAAAUCCGUAGAUAUCAGGAAGAACACCAGUGGCGAAAGCGGCUUGCUAGAACGCAACUGACGCUUAGGCGCGAAAGCGUGGGGAGCAAACAGG